GCGGAUGUAGUUGAGUGGUAAAACAGUGGCUUCCCAAGCCACGGUUGCGGGUCCGAUUCCCGUCAUCCGCUCCA
This 74-nucleotide transfer RNA is filed under the name Clostridia bacterium. RNAcentral describes it as "tRNA-Gly". It matches the Rfam family "tRNA". Rfam says of the family: Transfer RNA (tRNA) molecules are approximately 80 nucleotides in length. The record is from RNAcentral. Lineage: Bacteria; Bacillati; Bacillota; Clostridia.